This 500-nucleotide ribosomal RNA is filed under the name uncultured bacterium. RNAcentral describes it as "partial 16S ribosomal RNA". It matches the Rfam family "Bacterial small subunit ribosomal RNA", at positions 30 to 523 of the family's 1533-position model. The record is from RNAcentral.
AUUGGACGCUGGCGGCAUGCCUUACACAUGCAAGUCGAACGGCAGCACGGGUGCUUGCACCUGGUGGCGAGUGGCGAACGGGUGAGUAAUACAUCGGAACGUACCUUAUCGUGGGGGAUAACGCAGCGAAAGUUGCGCUAAUACCGCAUACGCCCUGAGGGGGAAAGCGGGGGACCGUAGGCCUCGCGCGAUUAGAGCGGCCGAUGUCUGAUUAGCUUGUUGGUGAGGUAAAAGCUCACCAAGGCGAUGAUCAGUAGCUGGUCUGAGAGGACGAUCAGCCACACUGGGGCUGAGACACUGCCCAGACUCCUACGUGAGGCAGCAGUGGCGAACUUUGGACAAUGGGGGCAACCCUGAUCCAGCAAUGCCGCGUGAGUGAAGAAGGCCUUCGGGUUGUAAAGCUCUUUUGUCAGGGAAGAAACAGCAGCUCUAACACAGUCUGCGAAUGACGGUACCUGAAGAAUAAGCACCGGCUAACUACGUGCCAGCCGCCGCCGUAA